GAUGGGGUUGGGGAGGGCUGCUUGUGGGUUUCUGCCUUCCAAGCAGGCUGUCGCGAGUUCGAGUCUCGUGUCCCGCUU
This 78-nucleotide transfer RNA is filed under the name Ktedonobacter robiniae. RNAcentral's name for it is "tRNA-Arg". The record is from RNAcentral. Lineage: Bacteria; Bacillati; Chloroflexota; Ktedonobacteria; Ktedonobacterales; Ktedonobacteraceae.